CAGCCUGCCUUUGGGAUGGCCAGUAUUAACAGCCUGUGCCCUUAAGUAUCCAGUGACAUAGGAUAAGUUCCACUGGUAAAGUUCACAAGAGGUAGAUUAUGUUCUCUAGGGAUGAGAAGUGAAAGUCAAGCAUGUUUCCCUGGAAGCAGAGAGCUCCCCAGUGGACAUUUCCAUUCCUACAGGCAGCCCCCCAUCCAGUUCCAUUCUGUUCCAGAACAGCUCCAGGCCUAGAAAGGCAAGUGAACCUUCAGAUCAUGCUGGGCUCAUGGAACAGCCCAGAAGCCCUCCAUCAGCCUGCAGUCCGGAGUUCAGGGAACGUCUUAGGCCAAGCCACUCUCAAGAAGCGGAGGUAAAAAGACUCACGGCUCAGUUCAUUCACCAUCAGCCCACAGCAUGGAAGGAAAAUGCCACUCCCCCUUUCAAACCACCCUUUUGCAACUAUAGGCAUUCUCAAAUCCUUCUUCAUUAUCACAGUAAAUUCAUGUUAAUGCAGACAUUAUUCUUAAAGGAUAACAAGGAGUCCACAGUGUAAUUUACCCUAAGCUCAGCAUUGCUUCAGGGCUGGUCUUGGGACAGGUGCCUCCCCAGGCCAGUCCUGUGUGACAUUACAUGAUUAGGACAAAAUUAGACAUGUGCAAGGAAAGCACAGCCACCAAAGGGCUCUGGGGCAGGUGUCAGUGCCCCAGGCGGGGAGAGGCUGUGUAAUUAUGGAAGGAUAAUACCCACCCCAGGGACUACUUCAUUUCCCAUCCCUAAGGAACUCUUCACCAAUCAGAAAAGAGAAUUCUUUAACAACAGCUCUCCACCCCCUGGCCAGGAACCACUCAUAGCUUCUCAGAACAUGUUUCUGGGCAGGUGGGAGCAAAGCCAGAAAGGAAAACGAACCCCGGGCAGAACCAGAGACACAAGAGCUCUGUGGCCCUGACCCUGGUAGAUAAUCCACCAGGCUCUCAAGCUAGGACCAUUUCACUGCAAGCCAAGGACCUGGUUUGCUGCAUGUUGUCCUGCCUUGCAGGCUGGCAAGAAGCUGAGCCUCUGGGCUUUGCCCACUGAUAUGGAACUGGCUCUGGGAGAUCACCCCAGCGAUGACAGAUGCACAGGGUGGCCAUCUGGAAGUGCCCCUGUCCUCAGGGAUGCUUCAAACAAAGGUUAAUGUGUCAAGAGGGAUUCAUAAAGUCGGAGACCUCCAUGGGGCUUUGAGAACAUCUCUACAUCUCCAGAUGAGCCACCUAAACUGAUCUGAAAGAACUAUGCUCAUCACUUCCUACCAUGCCCCUGAUCGGCUUCUAUGAAGAAAACCUGUUGUCAAAUCUCUGCGGCCCACUCAGUGUCCUCUGAUGCUGGCUAAAGGGAGCCCUAAUCAUUUGCAUUUGCUCAAGAAUCAAAUUGCUCAAGGCCCAGAUGGACCCCCCAGGACUCUUCUCCUGUGCAUUCUCCAGCUUCUCCAUCCCAGACAGAAAGCCUGUUCCUUCCAACAGACAUCUCCGGUAAAGCCCUGAGAUUACCUCGCUCACCCACAAGCAACGUGCUCCUAUUUAUAAACUCAAGACUCAGCUUGGUACUACCCUGGAGUGCUGAUUCACGGUGUUAUGACCAAAUUGUAUUUUGCCUUUACUGUAAAUAAGUACAAAGAAAAAA
RNAcentral lists this long non-coding RNA (1638 nucleotides) under Homo sapiens (human). Its description in RNAcentral is "HSALNT0347483". The record is from RNAcentral. Lineage: Eukaryota; Metazoa; Chordata; Mammalia; Primates; Hominidae.